GCUUUCUCGUUUCCUCACCAGAAAAGCAAUCAACUCUACUUUUGGUCCUUGCCACUUGCUUAGGUCCUAUGAGGCAAUGGUGGUCUCCUGGUUUUUAUUUGUAUCAAAUAUUUUUCCUGGAAUCCUGUUCCCUCUUAUGAUUUUGGAAAUGACUUCUUAAAAAUAGAAAUCAAAAUAAAUGAGUUCUGAGUGUUCUUUUUCUCAAA
Molecule: long non-coding RNA, 206 nt
Organism: Athene cunicularia (burrowing owl)
Lineage: Eukaryota; Metazoa; Chordata; Aves; Strigiformes; Strigidae
Exons: 2
Source: RefSeq, a predicted model, not a curated record